AUUAUCCCCUUGGGGGUUAGGAUUUCAAUAUAUGAAUUUUUGGGAAACACAAACAUUUAGCCCAUGACAGGGGCCAAGGGAGUGAGGUGGGAUCAGAAACCAAGGCCCUCAGAUGUGUGUGUGGCAGGGAGGGUGGUGGGUAAGAAACUCAUCAGUGCGGUUUCUGCACACGCCCUGUUUAUCCAGGCCCUUUGAUUCUCCCCAAGAGGGAGGAGACCAGCGAGGAGACCAGCAUUGGGCAGAACAGAGAAAAGAGGUGGCAAAUUAUUACCCAUUAAGUUCCAGAGCCACAGAAGCAGUUAUAAAGUAGAAAGAUUUGGGAAGAAGGUGUGAUCAGCAGAAAGCAGAUUUUCUUCCUCCCCUUCUGCUGGGACAGAUGAAGAUGUGGCGGGCACGGGGGAUGGAUGAACAAGGACACGUGGUCAGAGGCACAAGGGAGUAAUUGUCAGGGAUCCAAGUCACUUGCAGAGGCCUUUCUGAAUGGUGGGUUCUGAGGUGGCUGUAUCCAGGUGUGGCGUCUCCACCCUUGGCCUUGCAUGGAGAACCCAGGAAGCGAAGCUACAAGGGCAAAGCAGAAGGAUGGGG
Molecule: long non-coding RNA, 585 nt
Organism: Homo sapiens (human)
Lineage: Eukaryota; Metazoa; Chordata; Mammalia; Primates; Hominidae
Source: Ensembl